GCCUUAACCCGACCACGGGCUAACGCCCGUGCCGGUCCCAAGUCCGGACAAACUGGGGAGGGUUCA
This 66-nucleotide non-coding RNA is filed under the name unclassified sequences. The record is from RNAcentral.